Molecule: ribosomal RNA, 514 nt
Filed under: uncultured Hanseniaspora
Lineage: Eukaryota; Fungi; Ascomycota; Saccharomycetes; Saccharomycodales; Saccharomycodaceae
Description: eukaryotic LSU rRNA
Rfam family: Eukaryotic large subunit ribosomal RNA
Source: RNAcentral
GAACCAACUGGGAUUACCUUAGUAACGGCGAGUGAAGCGGUAAAAGCUCAAAUUUGAAAUCUGGUACUUUCAGUGCCCGAGUUGUAAUUUGUAGAAUUUGUCUUUGAUUAGGUCCUUGUCUAUGUUCCUUGGAACAGGACGUCAUAGAGGGUGAGAAUCCCGUUUGGCGAGGAUACCUUUUCUCUGUAAGACUUUUUCGAAGAGUCGAGUUGUUUGGGAAUGCAGCUCAAAGUGGGUGGUAAAUUCCAUCUAAAGCUAAAUAUUGGCGAGAGACCGAUAGCGAACAAGUACAGUGAUGGAAAGAUGAAAAGAACUUUGAAAAGAGAGUGAAAAAGUACGUGAAAUUGUUGAAAGGGAAGGGCAUUUGAUCAGACAUGGUGUUUUUUGCAUGCACUCGCCUCUCGUGGGCUUGGGCCUCUCAAAAAUUUCACUGGGCCAACAUCAAUUCUGGCAGUAGGAUAAAUCAUUAAGAAUGUAGCUACUCGGUAAUGUUAUAGCUUAUUGGAAUACUGCU